UAGGGAAUCUUGCGCAAUGGGCGAAAGCCUGACGCAGCCAUGCCGCGUGGAUGAUGAAGGUCUUAGGAUUGUAAAAUUCUUUCACCGGGGACGAUAAUGACGGUACCCGGAGAAGAAGCCCCGGCUAACUUCGUG
RNAcentral lists this ribosomal RNA (135 nucleotides) under uncultured bacterium. RNAcentral describes it as "partial 16S rRNA". It matches the Rfam family "Bacterial small subunit ribosomal RNA", at positions 355 to 507 of the family's 1533-position model. The record is from RNAcentral.